GAGGUCUCUGCGGAACAAAAAGAGGCUUUUCCCAAUUUUUGGGCGUCUUCAAACUGAAAUAGGUGUUUCUCCAUCUCGUUCUCUGAUUUGCUCAAAUUGAGUGGGCGAUUCCCAAAUGCAUUUUUCCCAUCAACCCAAGUAUAGCAAGUGAUGCGGAAAUUAAGCACAAGCACCGUCUGCCACUGAGAGAUCGCCUACAUAUGAAUCACAUAACAGUUCAGCGGAGAGGUAAAGAUCCUCAACCACAGCGCUGCCGUGAAGAUGUUAAUUUAUUCACAUGCCCUUUCUGCUCAUGUGACACAUACAAGCCAUGCCAGUAUCAUCAAAUAAUGACCCAUAUAGCUGGACAUAAACUAAGAUCUGUUGAACAUGGAGAUUAUGUUAUAUACAGCUGUGGCCUUGGCUGUGGUCAAAAGGCCAAACAUUUUCACUGCUGUCAGUGUCCACAGACCUACAUAAAUAAAGGUGCCUUAAAAGAGCAUCUUUGCAAAAAAAAACCCUGUAUCUGCUUUUACUGCUGAUCUACAACCAGUCGCUCGUCCAGCACAAGAAACAUCUUUACAGCAACCAGUCGCUCGUCCAGCACAAGAAACAUCU
Molecule: long non-coding RNA, 597 nt
Organism: Carassius carassius (crucian carp)
Lineage: Eukaryota; Metazoa; Chordata; Actinopteri; Cypriniformes; Cyprinidae
Exons: 3
Source: RefSeq, a predicted model, not a curated record